ACCGCUAAUAAGAGAGAAGGUGAGUUCCAUAACAAAAACUAUGGGCAUAGAGGACUUUGAAGUGUCCGGUGACUGGCUUUAAAAGUUGGUUGCACGAUAUCAACUGAGCAAUGCUGUCUUGUGUGGUGGUCGCGGGGAGGUCAAGUUAGAGACAGUGAAUGGGUAGAUAGUCUGUUACUCGUCUCUUUUUGUAGCAAAUAGUCCUAAUUUUGUGGUGCGUGUUGUUAUACUGUAUUUUGUUCAUAUACAUGUGCUGAAUGCUGCCGUUUUUGUGUUCUGAACAGUUUUUGGACCGUGUAUUUUUGCAUUUUAUUGCUUGUGUUGUUACACACAGAUUUUUUUAAACAUAUUUGCAUGUUCAGAAAGGACAUGGACCAUUGUCGUUUCCAUCAUAAGGACAUUCUGUUAUAAGGAAAGAUUGGACAAAGCAAAUAUGCCUCCUUACUGGAGAAUACUUAUCUGUACAGUAAAUAUUCUGUGGUACGGAAUCAUGUUUGCGCUGUCCAAUCCUUCCUUAUAAAAGAAUUUCCUUAUGUGGGAAAUGAGCAUGCUACGUGUCCUUUAUGAACACGCAAGUAUGUGAACAAAAUACACAUGUAACAACUCAAGCAAUGAAAUGCAAAAAUAUAUGCUCCUAACACUGUUUAUAACACAAAAGCUGCAAUGCAGUAUAACAAACUUAGGACUAUUUGCCCUACAAUGAGACGAGUAACAGACAGGGUGGCUUUUCUGUCCACGAUCUCACUGUCUCUAACUCGACCUCCCCUCGAUCGACACCCAAUAAAGCGUUGGUCAUCUGAUGUCAUGCAAUGAACUUUUAAAAUCAGCCACGGGACAUUUCGUAGUCCUCGAUGGCAAUAGUUAGCGUGAUGGAACUCGCCUUCACUCUAAUUAGUGCUCCAGAUUGUGUCAGGUUUUUAGCAUGACAACAAGUAAAGCAUUACAGGAAACACUUGUUUAUUUGACUGUCCAUUGAGCCACAAGCAAUUUACUUUGAGCAGCUCAUCGGCAGCCAAUUCCACUCUUAUCUUCCACGGAUCUCGCUACAGUAUCUACACACAUAGAUAUUGAGGUCCCCUCUUGGCCUAUCGGAGGACAGGAUGUGGUAAAUACAGUAAAUAUUCCCAUUCCCGAAAUUCUAUGCAAAGGAAUAUCCUUCACCCGGAAUAAAAACCUAUGCAUUAACAUUUUGACUACGAUAUUACAUGUUACCGGAAGUUGCGUAAGCGGAAAUUCCGCUAGCCGUCACCCGGAUGGAGGUGUAAUGCCGUGGGAGCUUAAAUACACGCAACGCCCACCCGAUGCGAUGGAAAAGACAACGCUGAAACAAGUUUUCACUUCGCGUUUUUCAAUCAUCAGAUUCUAAACGACGUCGUGCAAGUGAGUUUUUAUUGCCGUGCGUUUUAUUGCAAUUGUGAAUGAUUUUAACGUUAUUCACUUACGUCCUGUAGAACGCGGCACUAGCUUAAAAGCAGCACCCACUCGACACGACCGAAGAAACGUGUUCGCUUCGCCGUUUUCAUUCAUCAAAUUCGAAACGAAUACGUAUCAUCGCCUCGAAACGUAGAAGAACUGUAACGACUGGAGCGGAGCGAGCUAAAUGCAUCCGUUUGAGCGAGGCUGGACACAAAGUUAAAAAGAUACAGCAGACACUUGGGAGUCGGAAAGACGCAAAUCUACGAAACUUUAAACAACAAGGCAUCGAUUCAACUCCUGAUGACAAGCCACCAUCCAGCAAGGAAGCAAUGCAAAUUGCAACAAAAAUCCUUCAGUAUGCACAAGAAUUACCAGACAUCGGUGAUCAACGGGACAGUUACUUGCAACUAGCAAGAAAACUGUAUGACACGCACGCAAACAUUGUCAUAAACCAAAGAAUGCAUCCAAUAAAACAAUCCAAAAUACAUAUUUUUUUCCCAAGAUAGAAAAAAAAUAAACAUUAAAAUACUGUAUGUAUUUUACUGUUGUGAUUUUUUUGAUACACCUGUAUUGCAGUUUUUGUUAUAUAAACAGUUUUUGGACAGUA
This is a long non-coding RNA of Hippocampus zosterae (dwarf seahorse), 2023 nucleotides long. RefSeq lists it as uncharacterized. The record is from RefSeq and is a predicted model, not a curated record. The transcript has 2 exons. NCBI's taxonomy places the organism in Eukaryota, Metazoa, Chordata, Actinopteri, Syngnathiformes, Syngnathidae.